This is a non-coding RNA of Fomitopsis serialis, 93 nucleotides long. NCBI's taxonomy places the organism in Eukaryota, Fungi, Basidiomycota, Agaricomycetes, Polyporales, Fomitopsidaceae. The record is from the annotation of a RefSeq genome assembly.
GGACCUGUGGCGCAGUGGCUAGCGCGUGAGAUUCCAGCGCUCUGAUAGGUUAUUGCGUCCUCAAGGUCAUCCGUUCAAAUCGGGUCAGGUUCA